Molecule: transfer RNA, 73 nt
Filed under: Chlorella variabilis
Lineage: Eukaryota; Viridiplantae; Chlorophyta; Trebouxiophyceae; Chlorellales; Chlorellaceae
Rfam family: tRNA
About the family: Transfer RNA (tRNA) molecules are approximately 80 nucleotides in length. Their secondary structure includes four short double-helical elements and three loops (D, anti-codon, and T loops).
Source: Rfam by way of RNAcentral
GGCCGCGUAGCUUAGCGGAUAGAGCGACAGACUUCGAAUCUGUAGGUCGCAGGUUCGAUCCCUGCCGUGGUCG